This 628-nucleotide ribosomal RNA is filed under the name aff. Roholtiella sp. LEGE 12411. RNAcentral describes it as "bacterial SSU rRNA". It matches the Rfam family "Bacterial small subunit ribosomal RNA", at positions 100 to 760 of the family's 1533-position model. Lineage: Bacteria; Bacillati; Cyanobacteriota; Cyanophyceae; Nostocales; Fortieaceae. The record is from RNAcentral.
GGACGGGUGAGUAACGCGUGAGAAUCUAGCUUCAGGUUCGGGACAACCACUGGAAACGGUGGCUAAUACCGAAUGUGCCGAGAGGUGAAAGGCUUGCUGCCUGAAGAUGAGCUCGCGUCUGAUUAGCUAGUAGGUGUGGUAAUAGCGCACCUAGGCGACGAUCAGUAGCUGGUCUGAGAGGAUGAUCAGCCACACUGGGACUGAGACACGGCCCAGACUCCUACGGGAGGCAGCAGUGGGGAAUUUUCCGCAAUGGGCGAAAGCCUGACGGAGCAAUACCGCGUGAGGGAGGAAGGCUCUUGGGUCGUAAACCUCUUUUCUCAGGGAAGAACACAAUGACGGUACCUGAGGAAUAAGCAUCGGCUAACUCCGUGCCAGCAGCCGCGGUAAUACGGAGGAUGCAAGCGUUAUCCGGAAUGAUUGGGCGUAAAGCGUCCGCAGGUGGCGAUGUAAGUCUGCUGUUAAAGAGUGAGGCUCAACCUCAUAAGAGCAGUGGAAACUACAUUGCUAGAGUGCGUUCGGGGCAGAGGGAAUUCCUGGUGUAGCGGUGAAAUGCGUAGAGAUCAGGAAGAACACCGGUGGCGAAAGCGCUCUGCUAGGCCGCAACUGACACUGAGGGGACGAAAAG